GGAUGCGAUCAUACCAGCACUAAAGCACCGGAUCCCAUCAGAACUCCGAAGUUAAGCGUGCUUGGGCGAGAGUAGUACUAGGAUGGGUGACCUCCUGGAAGUCCUCGUGUUGCAUUCC
This 118-nucleotide ribosomal RNA is filed under the name Panicum miliaceum (proso millet). RNAcentral also lists the same sequence under 3 other names. Lineage: Eukaryota; Viridiplantae; Streptophyta; Magnoliopsida; Poales; Poaceae. The record is from RNAcentral.